UACGUAGGGGGCAAGCGUUGUUCGGAAUUACUGGGCGUAAAGGGCGCGUAGGCGGCCUGCUAAGUCGAACGUGAAAUCCCCGGGCUCAACCCGGGAACUGCGUCCGAGACUGGCGGGCUCGAAUUCGGGAGAGGGAUGCGGAAUUCCAGGUGUAGCGGUGAAAUGCGUAGAUAUCUGGAGGAACACCGGUGGCGAAGGCGGCAUCCUGGACCGAUAUUGACGCUGAUGCGCGAAAGCCAGGGGAGCAAACGGG
Molecule: ribosomal RNA, 253 nt
Filed under: uncultured bacterium
Lineage: Bacteria
Description: partial 16S ribosomal RNA
Rfam family: Bacterial small subunit ribosomal RNA
Source: RNAcentral